RNAcentral lists this ribosomal RNA (911 nucleotides) under uncultured Bacteroidota bacterium. Its description in RNAcentral is "bacterial SSU rRNA". It matches the Rfam family "Bacterial small subunit ribosomal RNA", at positions 56 to 965 of the family's 1533-position model. The record is from RNAcentral. Lineage: Bacteria; Pseudomonadati; Bacteroidota.
UGCAAGUCGAGGGGCAGCAUGUCCAGCAAUGGAUGAUGGCGACCGGCGGAAGGGUGCGUAACGCGUGAGCAACAUGCCCUAUACAGGGAGAUACACCAGGGAAACUUGGUCUAAUAUCCCAUAGCAUUCAUUGAAGGCAUCUUUAAUGAAUUAAAGCUUCGGUGGUAUAGGAUUGGCUCGCGUGACAUUAGCCAGAUGGUGAGGUAACGGCUCACCAUAGCAAUGAUGUCUAGGGGUUUUGAGAGGAAGGCCCCCCACACUGGGACUGAGACACGGCCCAGACUCCUACGGGAGGCAGCAGUGAGGAAUAUUGGACAAUGGAUGGAAAUCUGAUCCAGCCAUGCCGCGUGCAGGAAGACGGCCUUAUGGGUUGUAAACUGCUUUUAUACGGGAGCAAUAAGGGUUACGAGUAAUCCGAUGAGAGUACUGUAUGAAUAAGGAUCGGCUAACUCCGUGCCAGCAGCCGCGGUAAUACGGAGGAUCCGAGCGUUAUCCGGAAUUAUUGGGUUUAAAGGGUGCGUAGGCGGCCAUUUAAGUCAGCGGUGAAAUUUUGCAGCUUAACUGUAACAGUGCCGUUGAUACUGUUUGGCUAGGAUUUGGUUGUAGUGUGCGGAAUGUGUGGUGUAGCGGUGAAAUGCUUAGAUAUCACACAGAACACCGAUUGCGAAGGCAGCACACUAAGUCAUUAUUGACGCUGAGGCACGAAAGUGUGGGGAUCAAACAGGAUUAGAUACCCUGGUAGUCCACACUGUAAACGAUGAUAACUCGCUGUCGGCGAUACACAGUCGGUGGCCAAGCGAAAGCAUUAAGUUAUCCACCUGGGGAGUACGACCGCAAGGUUGAAACUCAAAGGAAUUGACGGGGACCCGCACAAGCGGUGGAGCAUGUGGUUUAAUUCGAAGCAACGCGAA